Lemur catta (Ring-tailed lemur) is the source of this 891-nucleotide long non-coding RNA. RefSeq lists it as uncharacterized. The record is from RefSeq and is a predicted model, not a curated record. The transcript has 2 exons. Lineage: Eukaryota; Metazoa; Chordata; Mammalia; Primates; Lemuridae.
AAGUGGUCCUCUCAGCUCAGCCUCCCAGAGUGCUGGAUUACAGAGGAAGCGCAGUAAAAUCCGUCAGCCGGGCUGGAGCCCCGAGCGCUAAGCUGGCGGAGGAGUGUGUGCGGACGUCCUCCUGACAGUAGAACUGACUCUGGAACUUGAUUCUUCACCGUGUCAGAACCCACCCCUUGGUGCUGCCCUUCACAGAUUACAAAAGGCUUGAGGGGUGGUGGGGAGUGCUCCCAAGCCCCAAAUGCCCUCAGCAGGCCAGUGACAGGCGUUCUGGGCCACCAGCGUGUCUCAGACCUUCACGGCCGAACCAACAGUGGACACCAACCCUGUUGUCCUCUGGAAAUUUCCUGGGUCUGUAAAUCUUGCCUUUCUCCUCCUGGAAUCGACCAAGAACUUGGACAUCUGUGGGAUGUCCUCCCACCGUGCCCUGAUGCGUGAAAGAGUUCCGUGUCGCAGGCCCCAUUGCCUGCUGCGUGGCCCAGGCCGAGGGCUGGAAGGGCAGCCGCACGCACGCUGCCUCGCGGACAGGGCAGGCCGGCCGGGGCCAUCCGUCUUCCCUGCACGCACACCCUCUCCCCCAGUCAAUACGUCUCUCUCCGAUGGGAAAGUUAAUAAAUUUUGCUCUAGAUUAAAAGUAUUGAUCAUUUCAUUUGUAAACGAUAAAUAAAAAGGGGGAACUUUUCAUUGCACCAGGGGUGGCGUCUGGUGUAUUUUGUGGCUGAGAUUGCGCUCGCUGCCGGGGGGGUUCUCAUAUGCAUUGCGGCCGGCCAGCCGCAUUGAUUUCCUAUUAGUCUCCCAGCACCACCCAGUAACACAUCAUUUCAGUACCUGCUAUUAAUGGUCUUUUGAUAAAUAAUCACUUGUAAGUCAAUAAAUUUUUAUUAAACAGUG